AGGCGGCCAGCAGCCUCCGCGGGAGCAUGCCGCCUCCCGCAGGGCCCGCCGCGAGCUUCCGGGGCCCAAGGAACCAGUCCGGAGGGGCGCAGGCGGUGGUCGCAGCGUCCCCCUAAAUGGCCGGCCACGAACCCGUCUCACGGUCCCGCGGCCAGGAGCCGCCGCUCAUCUGUCUCUGCAGCCACCGCUGAGGAAGAGUCUCCUCUGAGGGGAGAGUCGGUCAUGGCAGCAGACGCCGGGAUGGCUCCGCGACUGCUACACCAGGCACUCCUGGGCCCGGGCAGCAGACCAGUCAGCCCUGUGGCUCCUCGGCGACCUCCAGCGGGCGCCCGGGGCCGGGAUGCAGGGCGCGCGGACAGAAACGAGACAGACAGCUCAGGCCCAGCAGCACGCAAGCUCCCGCGCCUUCCGCGACUGCCACACGCGCGGCGCGCGCGCACCCUACUUUUUCUCCGCCACCUGGGCCGUGAUUGGGCGCGACCUGGGCUCCUGGGUGCUCAUUGGCGCCGUGAAGUGCUCGUCACCGCCCCCUCCUGCCCCUUCAUGCAUGCGCGGAGGCCGCCUGCUAGCAAGGAGGGGGCUGUAUGUGGAAUUGCAAGGCCAAAGACAUCUCGGGUCAACUCUUCUCAGGACCAGAUCCAAGUCGCCAGUGAGAACACACAUUCAGGCAGCCUCCACCAGCGCCCUGCCUCAGGAGCGAGGCUCCCUGCUUCAUGUGGGCAAGAGCUGCCCUUGUUUUCCCAGCGGGCAGUUGGGGGUCUGGAGCCUAGGAAGCAAAGUGAAGCACACACUCCUGCUUCCUUCCUUCCCUGCAGUUGAGACGGGAGUCUUACUUUGUUGCCCAGGCUGGUCUCAAACUCCUGGCUUCAAGCAAUCCUUCCACUUUGGCCUUCCAAAGUGCUGGGAUUACAGGCAUGAGCCACCAUGCCCAGCCUCCUUCUCUUACUAGCUGAGAACUAAGAGAAGACACUCUGGAGACAGAGGAGGAAACAGUGACGAUGCCACAUGAUGAAUACAUAAUGGAGGGUGAAGACAAGGCUCCGUCAGGGGCACCAAGGAGGGAAACCCAGUUCUGUGGGGAAGGUAUGGGGCAGCUUCACAAGCCCAGUGUCUGCUCCCUUUGUGGGAGACGUGUUGUUUCAGCAUCCAUUCCCCCUUCUUUUAGGAAAAGUGCUUGAAUUUCCUUUUCAUGGAACCACCCACCUCCCUCUCAUCCAUGCAUUCUAUUCCCAGUAUCAGGGGUAGACAAGUGACUUCAGGCUUGGCCAAUUAGGGUUCUGACUCUUGGUCAAAUCAGAGUGAAUCCUGAGUCAUUUGUAAACUCCAAGGAAAGGGCUUGCUUUGUUUUCUGUUGAAUGCAGUGCUCUGAGAUAGCCGGAAAUGAAACUGCUCUCUUGCCACACUGAAGGCUAGAGAAGGGCCUGGCCAGGAAAUGAUGCCAGUGAUCAGGGGUGGAGCUGGAAGAGGGGGAGUGAGGAGGCCCAGACAUCUUGGGAGCCCCAAAUUCACCUCAGGAUUUAACUUCUCCGCUGCUCAGCCAAUAAAUUCCUUUCUUCCAUGACUAA
Molecule: long non-coding RNA, 1565 nt
Organism: Homo sapiens (human)
Lineage: Eukaryota; Metazoa; Chordata; Mammalia; Primates; Hominidae
Gene: STARD7-AS1
Product: STARD7 antisense RNA 1
Source: Ensembl